This 550-nucleotide ribosomal RNA is filed under the name uncultured bacterium. Its description in RNAcentral is "bacterial SSU rRNA". It matches the Rfam family "Bacterial small subunit ribosomal RNA", at positions 355 to 896 of the family's 1533-position model. The record is from RNAcentral.
UAGGGAAUCUUCGGCAAUGGGGGCAACCCUGACCGAGCAACGCCGCGUGAGUGAAGAAGGUUUUCGGAUCGUAAAGCUCUGUUGUAAGUCAAGAACGAGUGUGAGAGUGGAAAGUUCACACUGUGACGGUAGCUUACCAGAAAGGGACGGCUAACUACGUGCCAGCAGCCGCGGUAAUACGUAGGUCCCGAGCGUUGUCCGGAUUUAUUGGGCGUAAAGCGAGCGCAGGCGGUUUGAUAAGUCUGAAGUUAAAGGCUGUGGCUCAACCAUAGUUCGCUUUGGAAACUGUCAAACUUGAGUGCAGAAGGGGAGAGUGGAAUUCCAUGUGUAGCGGUGAAAUGCGUAGAUAUAUGGAGGAACACCGGUGGCGAAAGCGGCUCUCUGGUCUGUAACUGACGCUGAGGCUCGAAAGCGUGGGGAGCGAACAGGAUUAGAUACCCUGGUAGUCCACGUCGUAAACGAUGAGUGCUAGGUGUUAGACCCUUUCCGGGGUUUAGUGCCGUAGCUAACGCAUUAAGCACUCCGCCUGGGGAGUACGACCGCAAGGUUG